RNAcentral lists this long non-coding RNA (209 nucleotides) under Mytilus galloprovincialis (Mediterranean mussel). Lineage: Eukaryota; Metazoa; Mollusca; Bivalvia; Mytilida; Mytilidae. The record is from RNAcentral.
CUGAAUUACAGGCUCCUUACUUAAAUUGUCAUAAUAUAUACUAAAUGUAUGUUCAUAUUGAAAUUGAUAGAAAACCAAAAAUUCGGAAUUUUGGAAAUAAAGGAGGAGUGAUAAAAAAAAACCAUUUUCCUGUCCCCAAUAACCUAUGACUUAUGAUACUUUUGCUGAAAUUCUCCUUUCAUUCAAUAUUUUACAAAAUUCUUCCAACG